RNAcentral lists this ribosomal RNA (253 nucleotides) under uncultured bacterium. Its description in RNAcentral is "partial 16S ribosomal RNA". It matches the Rfam family "Bacterial small subunit ribosomal RNA", at positions 524 to 776 of the family's 1533-position model. The record is from RNAcentral.
UACGUAGGUGGCAAGCGUUGUCCGGAUUUACUGGGCGUAAAGAGCGCGCAGGCGGUCGUUCAAGUCGCGUGUGAAAGCCCCCGGCUCAACUGGGGAGGGUCACGCGAUACUGAUCGACUCGAAGGCAGGAGAGGGAAGUGGAAUUCCCGGUGUAGUGGUGAAAUGCGUAGAUAUCUGGAGGAAUACCGGUGGCGAAGGCGGCAUCCUGGACCGGCAUUGACGCUGAUGAGCGAAAGCUAGGGGAGCAAACGGG